RNAcentral lists this ribosomal RNA (253 nucleotides) under uncultured bacterium. RNAcentral describes it as "partial 16S ribosomal RNA". It matches the Rfam family "Bacterial small subunit ribosomal RNA", at positions 524 to 776 of the family's 1533-position model. The record is from RNAcentral.
UACGAAGGGGGCUAGCGUUGUUCGGAAUUACUGGGCGUAAAGCGCGCGCAGGUGGUCUUUCAAGUCAGUGGUGAAAGCCCGGAGCUCAACUCCGGAACUGCCAUUGAAACUGUGAGACUUGAGGACGAGAGAGGUGAGUGGAAUUCCCAGUGUAGAGGUGAAAUUCGUAGAUAUUGGGAAGAACACCAGUGGCGAAGGCGGCUCACUGGCUCGUAUCUGACGCUCAGGCGCGACAGCGUGGGGAUCAAACAGG